UACGGAGGGGGCAAGCGUUACUCGGAAUUAUUGGGCGUAAAGGGCGCGUAGGCGGUCGUGUGCGUCGAGGGUGAAAUCCCCGGGCUUAACCCGGGAGCUGCCUUCGAUACGGCACGGCUUGAGUCCGGGAGAGGGGAGCAGAAUUCCCAGUGUAGCGGUGAAAUGCGUAGAUAUUGGGAGGAAUACCGGUGGCGAAGGCGGCUCUCUGGGACGGUACUGACGCUGAGACGCGAAAGCGUGGGGAGCGAACAGG
Molecule: ribosomal RNA, 253 nt
Filed under: uncultured bacterium
Lineage: Bacteria
Description: partial 16S ribosomal RNA
Rfam family: Bacterial small subunit ribosomal RNA
Source: RNAcentral